Lathyrus oleraceus (garden pea) is the source of this 1015-nucleotide long non-coding RNA. RefSeq lists it as uncharacterized. NCBI's taxonomy places the organism in Eukaryota, Viridiplantae, Streptophyta, Magnoliopsida, Fabales, Fabaceae. The record is from RefSeq and is a predicted model, not a curated record. The transcript is spliced from 3 exons.
AAGAGAGAGAGAGAGAGAGAAAAUACAACAACUUCAUCUUCUUCCUUUCAUGCUCUCUCUCUUCCACCACUUUGCUCCACCACCGAAGGCGGCAAAGUUGCCCGGACCAGUCAAGUUGCAACAUAAAAAAUGCCCCUCUACAUCUCCUCUUUUUAAAUAUCUCAUGAAUUUGGUUCAACACUCCACUAAUUUUCAUAAUUGAAGCAAGAAAGUCAUGAACCCUAACUAUGAAAGCUAAAAUUAAAUGGCAUAGGUGAAUCAUCGAGCCACCAAACCUUGGGACUUUGAUUCUUCAAUGCAAGAGCUACAAUGUGGUAUCAAGUUUCAAGAAAACAGAGGCAAAAGAAAAUUCACCGACCUGCAAGAUGGAGGUUUGUCUUGGAAAUUGUUGAAUUCUGAAGAUUAAGAAGAUGAAGAAAACCAGAGGUGUAACCGGUUACCCUGCUGUUGCUGACAGGUUACCAACACGAAAACAGACAUUCUAAGGGGAGGGGGUUGGUUGUGCAGAGCAGGCGUAACCGGUUACACUAUUUUAUGUUAGGGUUAUCGACACGAAAGUUAGGAUUCUGGGCUACUAGAAGUGAGGAAAUCGUAGGUGUAACCGGUUACACUAUGUGUAACCAGUUACCAACAUGCAAAAAUGGCAUUUUAGCUGCUGGAAUGGCAUGCAUGGCACGUGUAAUCGGUUAUCUGAUUCUUGGUCUGGUGCAUGGUAUGAACGAUAUUCUAACACAUCAUGGAAGCUCAAACAUGGAGGACUCAUGAAGGGAUGAAGCACAUGGUGUCUAGGAUGGUCAGUUGACUUUGGUCAACCAUUUGACCAAAAGUCAACGGUUGACUAAAAGUCAAUUGUGGGUCAAAUGAUGUAAAAUAGUGUAGAUUUGGUCUUCUAGAACCCAUUUGUAAUGGAAUAGGAUGUUUUUGUAAUGAAAAAGUCAUUUUGCAAUGUCUUGUGUUGAAAAUCUGAACUUGUACUUGAAUGAAACUUGCAUGAAACAUGAAUUAUUUGACUUGA